This 491-nucleotide ribosomal RNA is filed under the name uncultured bacterium. RNAcentral's name for it is "partial 16S ribosomal RNA". It matches the Rfam family "Bacterial small subunit ribosomal RNA", at positions 29 to 507 of the family's 1533-position model. The record is from RNAcentral.
AUUGAACGCUGGCGGCAUGCUUUACACAUGCAAGUCGAACGGUAACAGGCCUUCGGGUGCUGACGAGUGGCGAACGGGUGAGUAAUGCAUCGGAACGUACCCAGAGGUGGGGGAUAACGCAGCGAAAGCUGUGCUAAUACCGCAUGUGAUCUGAGGAUGAAAGCGGGGGACCGAGCAGCAAUGUUUGGCCUCGCGCCUUUGGAGCGGCCGAUGUCGGAUUAGCUAGUUGGUGGGUAAAGGCCUACCAAGGCGACGAUCCGUAGCUGGUCUGAGAGGACGACCAGCCACACUGGGACUGAGACACGGCCCAGACUCCUACGGGAGGCAGCAGUGGGGAAUUUUGGACAAUGGGCGCAAGCCUGAUCCAGCAAUGCCGCGUGCGGGAAGAAGGCCUUCGGGUUGUAAACCGCUUUUGGCAGGAACGAAACGGUGUCCGCUAAUACCGGGCGCUAAUGACGGUACCUGCAGAAUAAGCACCGGCUAACUACGUG